This 384-nucleotide long non-coding RNA is filed under the name Olea europaea subsp. europaea. The record is from RNAcentral. Lineage: Eukaryota; Viridiplantae; Streptophyta; Magnoliopsida; Lamiales; Oleaceae.
CACCCCACUUAAUCUUUCUCCUUUCCUCAACUACUUCUAUAGACGAAGUUUAACAAGCACACUGUCAUACGUAAAUGCAGUGUAUUUAUGAGUGAACAAGACCCAGUCACCAUCACUUAUCAAAAUAUUAAAAGAAAUGCAAAAAGAAAUACAACAAUUUCAUCAAAAUAUACUUUAUGAAUAUUAUCUCUACAUCCUAAUAGAGAAUCAAACAAUGAUUUUAUCGACGAUUAAGCAACAUAUCAUGACCAGCUGAAGAUCAGUUUAGCAGGGAUCAGUAAGAAUACUGAAUUAUUUUAGAAAGCAUUUCAUAACACUGAAAAUUGAAAUUCGAAAUCCAAAUACCAUGUGAAACUUUUUUAACCACUUCAUUGCACAUGUGAU